UGAUGCCAGGGUCAAAAGGUCUAAAUCCACAUGAGCUUGCUCAUAGGUGGAUGAAAGACCUUGGGACCCGCCCCGAUAUGAGCAUAAAAGUGGGAUGAUAAUCCCACGAUAUGCGAAUACUGGGGCGGAUUGUGGGAGUGCAACGCACGGAACAAUCCGUAGGCAUCA
Small RNA from Firmicutes bacterium CAG:56, 168 nucleotides. It matches the Rfam family "Clostridiales-1 RNA". The record is from Rfam. NCBI's taxonomy places the organism in Bacteria, Bacillati, Bacillota.